RNAcentral lists this transfer RNA (89 nucleotides) under Achromobacter xylosoxidans. Its description in RNAcentral is "tRNA-Glu". Lineage: Bacteria; Pseudomonadati; Pseudomonadota; Betaproteobacteria; Burkholderiales; Alcaligenaceae. The record is from RNAcentral.
CUCGGCAUUGCCGGGCUGCGGCGGCUGGCGUUCUCGCCGCUGGGCUAUGCGUUGCGCGGCGUGCGCGAUUCGGGCCUGCGGGCCGAGGC